AAUAGAUACCCCGGUAGUCCACCCGUAAACGUUGGGAACUAGUUGUGGGGUCCUUUCCACGGAUUCCGUGACGCAGCUAACGCAUUAAGUUCCCCGCCUGGGGAGUACGGCCGCAAGGCUAAAACUCAAAGGAAUUGACGGGGACCCGCACAAGCGGCGGAGCAUGCGGAUUAAUUCGAUGCAACGCGAAGAACCUUACCAAGGCUUGACAUACACCAGAACACCCUGGAAACAGGGGACUCUUUGGACACUGGUGAACAGGUGGUGCAUGGUUGUCGUCAGCUCGUGUCGUGAGAUGUUGGGUUAAGUCCCGCAACGAGCGCAACCCUCGUUCUAUGUUGCCAGCACGUUAUGGUGGGAACUCAUGGGAUACUGCCGGGGUCAACUCGGAGGAAGGUGGGGAUGACGUCAAAUCAUCAUGCCCCUUAUGUCUUGGGCUUCACGCAUGCUACAAUGGCCGGUACAAUGGGCUGCGAUACCGUAAGGUGGAGCGAAUCCCAAAAGCCGGUCCCAGUUCGGAUUGAGGUCUGCAACUCGACCUCAUG
This 545-nucleotide ribosomal RNA is filed under the name uncultured bacterium. RNAcentral describes it as "bacterial SSU rRNA". It matches the Rfam family "Bacterial small subunit ribosomal RNA", at positions 777 to 1322 of the family's 1533-position model. The record is from RNAcentral.